This 331-nucleotide unclassified non-coding RNA is filed under the name soil metagenome. RNAcentral's name for it is "partial contains 5.8S ribosomal RNA, internal transcribed spacer 2, and large subunit ribosomal RNA". The stretch from base 1 to 120 matches the Rfam family "5.8S ribosomal RNA", at positions 35 to 154 of the family's 154-position model. The record is from RNAcentral.
GAUGAAGAACGUAGUAAAAUGCGAUAAGUAAUGUGAAUUGCAGAAUUCAGUGAAUCAUCGAAUCUUUGAACGCACAUUGCGCCCGCCAGUAUUCUGGCGGGCAUGCCUGUUCGAGCGUCAUUUCAACCCUCAAGCACAGCUUGGUGUUGGGACUCGCGUUAAUUCGCGUUCCUCAAAUUGAUUGGCGGUCACGUCGAGCUUCCAUAGCGUAGUAGUAAAACCCUCGUUACUGGUAAUCGUCGCGGCCACGCCGUUAAACCCCAACUUCUGAAUGUUGACCUCGGAUCAGGUAGGAAUACCCGCUGAACUUAAGCAUAUCAUAAGCGGAGGA